AGAGUUUGAUCCUGGCUCAGGAUGAACGCUGGCGGCGUGCCUAACACAUGCAAGUCGAGCGAUUCUCUUCGGAGAAGAGCGGCGGACGGGUGAGUAACGCGUGGGUAACCUGCCCUGUACACACGGAUAACAUACCGAAAGGUAUGCUAAUACGGGAUAAUGUACUUUUGUCGCAUGGCAAAAGUAUCAAAGCUCUGGCGGUACAGGAUGGACCCGCGUCUGAUUAGCUAGUUGGAGAGGUAAUGGCUCACCAAGGCAACGAUCAGUAGCCGACCUGAGAGGGUGAUCGGCCACAUUGGAACUGAGACACGGUCCAAACUCCUACGGGAGGCAGCAGUGGGGAAUAUUGCACAAUGGGCGAAAGCCUGAUGCAGCAACGCCGCGUGAGCGAUGAAGGCCUUCGGGUCGUAAAGCUCUGUCCUCAAGGAAGAUAAUGACGGUACUUGAGGAGGAAGCCCCGGCUAACUACGUGCCAGCAGCCGCGGUAAUACGUAGGGGGCUAGCGUUAUCCGGAAUUACUGGGCGUAAAGGGUGCGUAGGUGGUUUUUUAAGUCAGAAGUGAAAGGCUACGGCUCAACCGUAGUAAGCUUUUGAAACUGAGAAACUUGAGUGCAGGAGAGGAGAGUAGAAUUCCUAGUGUAGCGGUGAAAUGCGUAGAUAUUAGGAGGAAUACCAGUUGCGAAGGCGGCUCUCUGGACUGUAACUGACACUGAGGCACGAAAGCGUGGGGAGCAAACAGGAUUAGAUACCUUGGUAGUCCACGCCGUAAACGAUGAGUACUAGGUGUCGGGGGUUACCCCCCUCGGUGCCGCAGCUAACGCAUUAAGUACUCCCCCUGGGAAGUACGCUCGCAAGAGUGAA
RNAcentral lists this ribosomal RNA (861 nucleotides) under uncultured bacterium. Its description in RNAcentral is "bacterial SSU rRNA". It matches the Rfam family "Bacterial small subunit ribosomal RNA", at positions 8 to 898 of the family's 1533-position model. The record is from RNAcentral.